AGUAACACGUGGAUAACCUACCUAUAAGACUGGGAUAACUUCGGGAAACCGGAGCUAAUACCGGAUAAUAUUUUGAACCGCAUGGUUCAAAAGUGAAAGACGGUCUUGCUGUCACUUAUAGAUGGAUCCGCGCUGCAUUAGCUAGUUGGUAAGGUAACGGCUUACCAAGGCAACGAUCGCAUAGCCGACCUGAGAGGGUGAUCGGCCACACUGGAACUGAGACACGGUCCAG
This 232-nucleotide ribosomal RNA is filed under the name uncultured Staphylococcus sp. Its description in RNAcentral is "partial 16S ribosomal RNA". It matches the Rfam family "Bacterial small subunit ribosomal RNA", at positions 109 to 334 of the family's 1533-position model. Lineage: Bacteria; Bacillati; Bacillota; Bacilli; Caryophanales; Staphylococcaceae. The record is from RNAcentral.